Molecule: non-coding RNA, 848 nt
Organism: Equus caballus (horse)
Lineage: Eukaryota; Metazoa; Chordata; Mammalia; Perissodactyla; Equidae
Source: RefSeq, a predicted model, not a curated record
UCCUUGCUCUCCGCUGCUUGCUGCCUUUCCCUGAGCCUUGGACUUCCACCCCUUCCGCCUCCGCCCGUCCUCCCGUCCUCCCGUCCAACCUCUCUCUCCUCUGAGUCCUGCCAAGAAGAGGCAGGUCGAACACUUGCGGUGUGCACUGGAUCGAAGGGAUUACCCUGCUAGGAUUAGGCUCGCUCGAUGAGCUUGAAGUCCUUUGAGUCAGAACCUGUUUGGGGUCUGCAGAGAGUCGCACGUGGCGGGAGGGUGGCCCGCGUGUGGGUGAGGAGCAGGGAGGAAGGCUGCAGGGGCGAGGCCUUGGAGAUUCUGCUCCAGUUUGGCCUGCAGGCAGUGGAGAACCCUGGAUUCCUUUCAAGCAGGGAAGCGAUGGGACCACACACAAACUCAGGUCCGGGUACCCGAUUUCGCAGCCAAGCCAAUCAGUGAGAAGUCAGGGUUGCAGCAAGGAAAGAGGUUUAUGAUCAAGAGGCGGCCAGACAAGGAGGACGGGACGGCGACGAGAUUUGGGGAGUCUUUCGAGGAGCCGGUGAGAGACGAGGCGAUGACUGGAUGGCUGACGAGGAGUCGAGGUCUUUUGGCAGCAGCUUAGCCGUGAAAGAGGCCGCAGAGCACCCGAGGGCGGUUUCCCAGGCAGUGGAAAGAGGAGGAGGACCGAGCCGGGGGAAAGCAAGCUUUCCUCGUGAAGUUUGGAUGCCCGCUGCACGUUGGUGCCCUUCCCCUUUCUUCCUACUGUCCCGGGAGUGGGCGCCCUCGCGCGCUUUCUGAUGCUGCAGCACUAAGGCAAGUGAGGUUCCCGCUCCCCGAGGGAAAGCUCAAUAAACGCCCCCCCCCCCGCCCCCACC